RNAcentral lists this ribosomal RNA (274 nucleotides) under uncultured bacterium. Its description in RNAcentral is "partial 16S ribosomal RNA". It matches the Rfam family "Bacterial small subunit ribosomal RNA", at positions 523 to 796 of the family's 1533-position model. The record is from RNAcentral.
CUACGGAGGGUCCAAGCGUUAUCCGGAAUCAUUGGGUUUAAAGGGUGCGCAGGCGGUUUAAUAAGUCAGUGGUGAAAUCUCGAGGCUCAACCUCGAAACUGCCAUUGAUACUGUUAGACUUGAGUUCAGUUGGAGUAGGCGGAAUGUGUAGUGUAGCGGUGAAAUGCUUAGAUAUUACACAGAACACCGAUAGCGAAGGCAGCUUACUAAACUGAUACCGACGCUGAGGCACGAAAGCGUGGGGAGCGAACAGGAUUAGAAACCCUAGUAGUCC